AGAGCGAACGCUGGCGGCAGGCCUAACACAUGCAAGUCGAGCGCCCCGCAAGGGGAGCGGCAGACGGGAGAGUAACACGUGGGAACGUACCCUUCAGUUCGGAACAACCCAGGGAAACUUGGGCUAAUACCGAAUACGUCCGUAAGGAGAAAGAUUUAUCGCUGAAGGAUCGGCCCGCGUCUGAUUAGCUUGUUGGUGAGGUAACGGCUCACCAAGGCUACGAUCAGUAGCUGGUCUGAGAGGAUGAUCAGCCUCACUGGGACUGAGACACGGCCCAGACUCCUACGGGAGGCAGCAGUGGGGAAUAUUGGACAAUGGGCGCAAGCCUGAUCCAGCCAUGCCGCGUGGAUGAUGAAGGCCUUAGGGUUGUAAAGUCCUUUCGACGGGGAAGAUAAUGACGGUACCCGUAGAAGAACGCCCGGCUAACUUCGUGCAGCAGCCGC
This 443-nucleotide ribosomal RNA is filed under the name uncultured bacterium. RNAcentral describes it as "SSU rRNA". It matches the Rfam family "Bacterial small subunit ribosomal RNA", at positions 26 to 518 of the family's 1533-position model. The record is from RNAcentral.